UGCUUUUGUAGUCGGAACUACUAUCCAGACGAUAAACAACAGCCGAACAUCGGACGAUGCUUGAUCUAGCCGUUGGCCUCCACUUUCUCCAACGCAUGCAUGGCUGGAUCAGUGCAAUCGUGCACAAAUCGGCUGCACAACAUCGUGUGUAUAGCAACACUCGAUGCGCCACUUCCUAACCAUACGAUCCCGUUCAUCUCACAGGUAAAAGCAAAAAAAAAGAAAAAAGAUAGAGCCCAGCAUAACCGCUCAUCCUCAUCUGCUCUCGCCGGCCUCCCCGCGCGGCUGCGCAACAAGCGCUCGCUGGCCGUCCGUGACCUGCGCUUGCCGUCUGUUCCUCAUGCCGGUGAGCCGCAACAAGUCGCCCCCGUCGUCGCGCGAGGUCGCCGCCGUCAUGCCCGAGGUCGCCAUUGCAGCUCCCAACCGCCCGUGGUUGCACGGGGGAACACCAUCGCAUCUCCACCACCAGCCAUCGUUGUAGCUCCGCCAGCACCGCCGUCUCCCGUCCCAGCAAAAUCAUGGUCACGGCUAGCCAUCCCGCCAUCGCUUCUUGUAGCUCCCGCCGUUGACAGUUGUAGCAUCUGUCAAAGAAGGUUGUAGCAUCGGCGGUGGCCGCUUCCAGCAAAGGACGCUAGGGGUUGUAGCUUCAUGCCUAGACGGUUGUAGCAUCCUCGUCUGCCGCUCGCAGCUCCUCGCACUGCCGGUUCCAGCAUCGCCGGCAGCCGGUUGUAGCAUCCUCGUCGGCCCACUCGCAGCUCCUCACACUGACGGUUCCAGCAUCACCGAGAGCCGGUUAUAGCAAAAAGCGACUUUGGUUGUAGCAAAAAGGCGAUGUGGUGGUAGCAAAAAUGCAAUUUUGGUGGUCGUGGUUGUAGCCGCCGCCGACCACAAAUGCCGACAGUAGCAAAAUUCUUCACCGGUCGUAGCAAAAUCCGGCGAUGGAUGCAGCAAAACUUCGUCACGCGCCGUUCCUAUUGCAGCUUCACCAUGAAAUCAUUGUAGCAAAAAUUCUCGCCUGUCGUAGCAAAAUCUGACGAUGGAUGUAGCAAAAAAAUCGUCACCGCCGUUCGUGGUUGCAGCCUCGCCAUGAAAAUCCUUGUAGCAAAAUUUUUGUCAGUAGUAGAAAAAACAGACGACAGUUGUAGCAAAAAAUCAUCACGACACGCACCCACUCUCCGCCGCCCCUGCCGGUUGAAACAUCCCCGGCCGGCUGCUCCCCAACCGCGGGCCUUCGUCGUCUUCCUUGCAGUAACGCCGCCUCCCCCAUUGCAAUCGUGGGCAGGGAAGGGGGUUAGCUACAGAGCUCCCACGCCUGGCUCAGGCUCGCGGCGUCUCCCGUCCAGAGCAGCAGCAGAUUGUCACACCGUCGGAGACAGGGACGAGCUCGCCAUGCGGUGUUGAGAGAUUUAAUGGCGGAGAAAAGAAAAGGGAGAUAGAAAGAGGAGAAAUGGAUGCGCCGUGUAUAGCAAAGAGAUGAGGAAUGGGCAUGCCCUCCGGGACCCACCUAGGCACGUGCCCAGUUUUUUG
This 1527-nucleotide long non-coding RNA is filed under the name Triticum aestivum (bread wheat). Its description in RNAcentral is "long non-coding RNA (TAES_LNC026298)". Lineage: Eukaryota; Viridiplantae; Streptophyta; Magnoliopsida; Poales; Poaceae. The record is from RNAcentral.